AAAGAUUAAGCCAUGCAUGUCUAAGUACAUGUGUAAUUUAACACGAAACCGCGUAUGGCUCAUUAUAACAGCUAAAAUUACUUGAUUUUGACUUUUAUCCUACAUGGAUAACUGUGGUAAUUCUGGAGCUAAUACAUGCAUAAAAGAUAUAACAUUUUUAUGUUAUAUUGCGUAUAUUAGUAUUAAAACCAAGCAUUCUUCGGAAUGUUUUGUGUUGAAACUGAAUAUAUCAUGCUGAUCGUAUGGUCUUGUACCGACGACAUGUCAUUCAAGUGUCUGAUCUAUCAACUUUCUAUAUAAGUAUAUAGUACUUAUAUGGUUUUGACGGAUAACGGGGUAUUAGGGUACGACUCCGGAGAAAAUGCCUGAGAAACGGCGUUUACAUCCAAGGAAGGCAGCAGGCGCGAAAAUUACCCACUCUCAGUACGAGGAGGUAGUGACGAGAAAUGACAAGAUCUAUUCCUUCGGGGAUGGAUCAUUGGAAUGGUUUGAUUUUAAAAUCAUUAAAGAGUAUCAAUGAGAGGGCAAGUCUGGUGCCAGCAGCCGCGGUAAUUCCAGCUCUCAUACUGCAUUGAAUUGUUGUUGCGGUUAAAAAGCUCGUAGUUGGAUCUGUACAUGAUAGGUUAGUUCAUCCUUUGGAUUGUAACUAAUACUAAAUGUUUUUUAUUAGAUUUUUUUAUGUUCUUUACGGGAUAUAAAAUGUCUAAUGAGUUUACUUUGAAUAAAUCAGAGUGCUCAAAACAGGCGUAAGCUUGUAUGGUUUUGCAUGGAAUAAUAGAACAUGACUAUGGUUCAUGUUUUAUUGGUUUUACUUACCAUAGUAAUGAUUAAAAGGAACAAACGGGGGCAUCCGUAUCGCAGGGCGAGAGGUGAAAUUCGUGGACCCUUGCGAGACGAACUACAGCGAAAGCAUUUGCCAAGAAUG
RNAcentral lists this ribosomal RNA (925 nucleotides) under Panagrolaimus subelongatus. RNAcentral describes it as "SSU rRNA". It matches the Rfam family "Eukaryotic small subunit ribosomal RNA", at positions 39 to 966 of the family's 1831-position model. Lineage: Eukaryota; Metazoa; Nematoda; Chromadorea; Rhabditida; Panagrolaimidae. The record is from RNAcentral.